Non-coding RNA from Lonchura striata (white-rumped munia), 325 nucleotides. Lineage: Eukaryota; Metazoa; Chordata; Aves; Passeriformes; Estrildidae. The record is from RefSeq and is a predicted model, not a curated record.
CAGGGGUGAUGGACUCUCUAGUGUCAGGAGAGAUGUGUGUAUGUUUAUGAUUGCAAGCAGAUGCAGCAUCCCUGAGUCUGGAAUCACUUCCACCCGUGCUUCCCCGGGCUGCAGAACACCAUGAUUCAUUCUGCAUAUCAGCAUAGCACGGAGCUGAUGCCUUCAGUGUCUGUCUGCUCCACGAUGCUCAGUUAUCUGCCUGCCCCGAGCUAUCCAAAGGGAUGGAUUUGCAUGGACACUGCUUCCCGUGGAAGGGAAUGCCAGGAAUGACCGGUCUGGUACUACCUGCCCAGCAUUUCAGUGCCCAGCUCCACAUUAGCCAGGC